Molecule: long non-coding RNA, 1017 nt
Organism: Helianthus annuus (common sunflower)
Lineage: Eukaryota; Viridiplantae; Streptophyta; Magnoliopsida; Asterales; Asteraceae
Exons: 4
Source: RefSeq, a predicted model, not a curated record
GCGGAGGUCGAACAAACAAUGAAAUCACGUCAUGAAGAAAGAAGUCUAAAUGAUGAUAAAAAUAAAGAUGGUGGGCUAGAAGGUGAUAAUGCUGGAAAAAUAGUUGAUGGUAUUGGAGGUGACAAUGCUGGUGAAAAAAAUGAUGGUGAGAAUGAAUUUGCUGAAAACGAUCAACCAGAACCAGGGACAACGGAAACAUUACUAAAUGAAAUCGAGAUCAGAUGUCAAGAAACAAAAAUAUAACAUUUAGUUGCUAAAGAUGCUUCGUUGGGAUUCAGUAAGUUUAUGCUUUAAAGGAUCAAUGGAAAGUAAAUCCUAUUGAAGGUGAUUCUUCUCAGGAAAGAAUAAAGAUGAAAACGAAAACAAAAUACAGUCAAUUCUAGACACAUUUCCAUUUCUUCAAGUACCCAUCACCCAAGAAACAACUAAAACCCACACUACCCCUGAACAAACAAAAGAAAAGAGAAUAUCUAAGCCAACUUCUGCAUAUAAAUCACCUUACGUUAACCGGAAAGUUCAACUUGGAACAAAGAUGAGUGAUGAUGAACAAUUGAUAGUAGAUUACAUAUUUUCUCCAACAGAUGAAUUCAAGUUUGUAUACAAGUCAGUUUAUGGGACAGAUUCAAUCAAAGUGGUUUUUGAAGCAAUGUUUGAUGGUGUAAAAAUUACAUCAGUCAUCAUUGACAAAUGGGCUGAAGUGCUAAACAAUGAAGAAAAAAAUGAAAAGCCAGUAUUCUCUUAGUAGGUUUUUUUGCUCAUCGCUUCUAUUGUUAAAGAAUCAUUAUGCACCUACAAGCACCGACGAAGUUCGACUUUUAAUGUUCACACAAAACUUGGAUCAAUGGCUUGAACAGUUUAAGUCAAACCGAUAAGAGAUUUUGACCUCCUGUUUUCCCCAUUUUAGCUUCAGAACAUUAUUACGUCGUGUGUUUCAAUAUGAACACUUCUAAAAUUGUGUUGAUCGAUAACAGCAAAAUGGGUGAAAAUUUCCAUGAUAGAUAUCAAGGGAUCCCUAAU